Eupeodes corollae is the source of this 634-nucleotide long non-coding RNA. RefSeq lists it as uncharacterized. NCBI's taxonomy places the organism in Eukaryota, Metazoa, Arthropoda, Insecta, Diptera, Syrphidae. The transcript is spliced from 2 exons. The record is from RefSeq and is a predicted model, not a curated record.
GGUUAUUAUGAAAAACGAAACUCGUUCAAAAUAACGCUUAUUCGUUAAAUUGCGAUUAGAAAAAACGAUUGUAGUGGCACUAAAUCGUCAAAUUGCGAUUAAGAAAAACGAGAAUCGUAAAAAUGACGAUACUCGUAUUUUUAUUUACGAGUGCCUUCAGCUUUCGUUUUGGGGGUAGAUGUCAAAUCUCAUUUAUUUUUUUGUUUUGUUAAGUGCGCAAAAAAAUGCCUACAACUAAUGCUAAGCAGUUGGAUUUGCUGGUAGCUUUUAUGGAAACCAAUCCAAACAUAGCAAAAAAUUACUUGCCGACGAGCCAAGCCAAAGCCAAAUCCAAAAUUCUUUGGAAGGCUUUGACUGAUAAGCUAAAUUCAUGCGGUCCUCCAGAGAAACCAAUGGAUGGUUGUGUUUAUGAUUAAUUCUGUUCUUCGUUAGGUAUGGAAAGAUUUUAGGUACAAUCUUAAGCGCAAAAUGCGUGGAAGGCUCAUUGGGUUCGAUGAAUCUCUUAAAACUCUUCUUUUUAUACGCAUUUCCUCUUCUUCGUUAGUUUGGGAUUCAUCUUCGCUUUCAAGGAAAUAGUCGCAGUGAAAAAACAUUUUAUAGAAUUUAUGCAAAUUACAUUUAUUUUUGAAACUUC